RNAcentral lists this ribosomal RNA (430 nucleotides) under Bacillota bacterium. RNAcentral's name for it is "Firmicutes bacterium partial 16S ribosomal RNA". It matches the Rfam family "Bacterial small subunit ribosomal RNA", at positions 355 to 776 of the family's 1533-position model. Lineage: Bacteria; Bacillati; Bacillota. The record is from RNAcentral.
UGGGGAAUAUUGGACAAUGGGCGCAAGCCUGAUCCAGCCAUGCCGCGUGUGUGAAGAAGGCCUUUUGGUUGUAAAGCACUUUACGCGAGGAGGAGGCUACUUGGAUUAAUACUCUAGGAUAGUGGACGUUACUCGCAGAAUAAGCACCGGCUAACUCUGUGCCAGCAGCCGCGGUAAUACAGAGGGUGCGAGCGUUAAUCGGAUUUACUGGGCGUAAAGCGUGCGUAGGCGGCUUUUUAAGUCGGAUGUGAAAUCCCUGAGCUUAACUUAGGAAUUGCAUUCGAUACUGGGAAGCUAGAGUAUGGGAGAGGAUGGUAGAAUUCCAGGUGUAGCGGUGAAAUGCGUAGAGAUCUGGAGGAAUACCGAUGGCGAAGGCAGCCAUCUGGCCUAAUACUGACGCUGAGGUACGAAAGCAUGGGGAGCAAACAGG